Molecule: ribosomal RNA, 760 nt
Filed under: Salmonella enterica subsp. enterica serovar Dublin
Lineage: Bacteria; Pseudomonadati; Pseudomonadota; Gammaproteobacteria; Enterobacterales; Enterobacteriaceae
Description: partial 23S ribosomal RNA
Rfam family: Bacterial large subunit ribosomal RNA
Source: RNAcentral
ACGUACAAGCAGUGGGAGCCCCACCACUAAGCCAGUGGUGAACUCCACAUACGCAUCCUUUGCUGAGGAUACGGUUAACGGAGCGAAAGCGACGUUCAACCGCAAAAGAAGCAGAGGGGGCUUAGUGGUGGGGUGACUGCGUACCUUUUGUAUAAUGGGUCAGCGACUUAUAUUCUGUAGCAAGGUUAACCGAAUAGGGGAGCCGGAGGGAAACCGAGUCUUAACCGGGCGUUAAGUUGCAGGGUAUAGACCCGAAACCCGGUGAUCUAGCCAUGGGCAGGUUGAAGGUUGGGUAACACUAACUGGAGGACCGAACCGACUAAUGUUGAAAAAUUAGCGGAUGACCUGUGGCUGGGGGUGAAAGGCCAAUCAAACCGGGAGAUAGCUGGUUCUCCCCGAAAGCUAUUUAGGUAGCGCCUCGUGAAUUCAUCUCCGGGGGUAGAGCACUGUUUCGGCUAGGGGGCCAUCCCGGCUUACCAACCCGAUGCAAACUGCGAAUACCGGAGAAUGUUAUCACGGGAGACACACGGCGGGUGCUAACGUCCGUCGUGAAGAGGGAAACAACCCAGACCGCCAGCUAAGGUCCCAAAGUCAUGGUUAAGUGGGAAACGAUGUGGGAAGGCCCAGACAGCCAGGAUGUUGGCUUAGAAGCAGCCAUCAUUUAAAGAAAGCGUAAUAGCUCACUGGUCGAGUCGGCCUGCGCGGAAGAUGUAACGGGGCUAAACCAUGCACCGAAGCUGCGGCAGCGACGCUUAUGCGU